GUGGGGAAUAUUGCACAAUGGGCGAAAGCCUGAUGCAGCAACGCCGCGUGAACGAUGAAGGUCUUCGGAUCGUAAAGUUCUGUCGCAGGGGAAGAUAAUGACGGUACCCUGUGAGGAAGCACCGGCUAACUACGUGCCAGCAGCCGCGGUAAUACGUAGGGUGCUAGCGUUAUCCGGAUUUACUGGGCGUAAAGGGUGCGUAGGUGGUCUUUCAAGUCGGUGGUUAAAGGCUACGGCUCAACCGUAUUAAGCCGCCGAAACUGGAAGACUUGAGUGCAGGAGAGGAAAGUGGAAUUCUCAGUGUAGCGGUGAAAUGCGUAGAUAUUGAGAAGAACACCAGUAGCGAAGGCGGCUUUCUGGACUGUAACUGACACUGAGGCACGAAAGCGUGGGUAGCAAACAGGAUUAGAAACCCUAGUAGUCC
This 424-nucleotide ribosomal RNA is filed under the name uncultured bacterium. RNAcentral describes it as "bacterial SSU rRNA". It matches the Rfam family "Bacterial small subunit ribosomal RNA", at positions 354 to 796 of the family's 1533-position model. The record is from RNAcentral.